This 501-nucleotide long non-coding RNA is filed under the name Canis lupus dingo (dingo). RNAcentral's name for it is "lncRNA (ENSCAFG00020018014.1)". The record is from RNAcentral. Lineage: Eukaryota; Metazoa; Chordata; Mammalia; Carnivora; Canidae.
AUGUUCUCAACGGUUUGUUCUGAUCCAAGUCACAUUAAAUUAAAUUCAACUGAUUUCCUACCCAUAUGUUACGCGUGGACUAACCUUCAAGAGAGGUCCCCAUUCCCCCUGGAACAGAUGCUCUACUGCAGCCUAAGCAUGGGAAAGGAGAUUGAAGACAGAUGGAAGAGAGGAUUAUAUUGUCACACACGGUUACAAUACUUAAAAAAAAAUCGAGGCAGUUAUCCUCACCUUUUUAUUCAUGAGGGAACAGGACUUCAGACAGGCAACAUGUUCCAGUCACAGAGCAUCCAUGAGAACUUGGGAUCCAUAGGUCUUGGAUUUUCUGACUGCGAGUCUGAGACUUCCCUCAUUCAGAAUCCAGCUAAAUUCCUCCUCUUCUCUCCUAAACUACAUCGUCUCCUAGAGAACCAUCCUCAGCUUUUGUCACAAACUGACUGCAGGGAUUCCUAUGUUUUACUAGCCAACUUGGCCACAUCUGGGUACCCUGUAUGGUGUUGA